RNAcentral lists this ribosomal RNA (794 nucleotides) under Spironucleus salmonis. RNAcentral describes it as "SSU rRNA". It matches the Rfam family "Eukaryotic small subunit ribosomal RNA", at positions 272 to 1232 of the family's 1831-position model. Lineage: Eukaryota; Fornicata; Diplomonadida; Hexamitidae. The record is from RNAcentral.
UACGGGCUUAGUCCGUGCCGAUGGACAGCAGAUCAGGUUCGCGUGCAUCACCUUGACGGUAGGGUAAUGGCCUACGGUGGGAUUAACGCACACGGGGUGUUAGGGCACGACUCCGGAGAAUGAGCAUGAGAGACGGCUCAUAGUUCUAAGGAAGGCAGCAGGCGCGGAAAUUGCCCAAUGUACCGUUGUGUACGAGGCAGUGACGAGGCGUCGUGAGUCACUUAGGUGACAUUACGAUGAGUGAGGUGUACAGACCCUCGCAAAUGCAAGUCGUGGGAAAGCAUGGUGCCAGCAGCCGCGGUAAUUCCAUCAUGACUAACUCAUUCUUACGGUGCUGCAGUUAAAGCGUCCGUAGCUGGCGGCCUGCCGACUCGAGGAACUCUCGACGCCCAACGUAGCGAGCGCGGUGAGCUGCAGCGAGUUACGNGCAACAACAACUAUCGCUAUAGGACAGGGGAAGGCUCCUUCUAUUAUAGGGGGACAGGUGAAAUAGGAUGAUGCCUAUAGGAGGAACAAGUGCGCAGGCACUGAGUCGUCCCCGGUUCGUUGGUCAAGGGCGUUAUCGUGGGGCUAGACGAUGAUUAGAGACCGUUUUACUCCACGUCGUAAACGAUGCUACCUCGCUGUGCGCUGUUCAAACACGUGCUUAGCGAAGAGAAAUCGAAGUGUACGACCCCUGGGGGGAGUAUGCUCGCAAGGGUGAAACUUGAAAGUAUUGACGGAAAGAUACCACCAGACGUGGAGUCUGCGGCUUAAUUUGACUCAACGCGCCAAUCUUACUAGAACCAGAUGCU